Molecule: unclassified non-coding RNA, 337 nt
Filed under: soil metagenome
Description: partial contains 5.8S ribosomal RNA, internal transcribed spacer 2, and large subunit ribosomal RNA
Rfam family: 5.8S ribosomal RNA (bases 1-120)
Source: RNAcentral
GAUGAAGAACGCAGCGAAAUUCGAUAAGUAAUGUGAAUUGCAGAAUUCAGUGAAUCAUCGAAUCUUUGAACGCACAUUGCGCCCGCCAGUAUUCUGGCGGGCAUGCCUGUUCGAGCGUCAUUUCAACCAUCAAGCCCCCGGGCUUGUGUUGGGGACCUGCGGCUGCCGCAGGCCCUGAAAAGCAGUGGCGGGCUCGCUGUCACACCGAGCGUAGUAGAUUUUAUCUCGCUCAGGGCGUGCUGCGGGUUCCGGCCGUUAAACCACCUUCAUAACCCAAGGUUGACCUCGGAUCAGGUAGGAAGACCCGCUGAACUUAAGCAUAUCAAUAAGCGGAGGA